This 433-nucleotide ribosomal RNA is filed under the name uncultured bacterium. Its description in RNAcentral is "partial 16S ribosomal RNA". It matches the Rfam family "Bacterial small subunit ribosomal RNA", at positions 29 to 507 of the family's 1533-position model. The record is from RNAcentral.
AACGAACGCUGGCGGCAGGCUUAACACAUGCAAGUCGAACGCACCUUUCGGGGUGAGUGGCAGACGGGUGAGUAACGCGUGGGAAUCUACCCUUCUCUACGGGAUAGCUCCGGGAAACUGGAAUUAAUACCGUAUACGUCCUGAGGGAGAAAGAAUUAUCGGGGAAGGAUGAGCCCGCGUUGGAUUAGCUAGUUGGUGGGGUAAAGGCCUACCAAGGCGACGAUCCAUAGCUGGUCUAAGAGGAUGAUCAGCCACAUUGGGACUGGGACACGGCCCAAACUCCUACGGGAGGCAGCAGUGGGGAAUAUUGGACAAUGGGCGCAAGCCUGAUCCAGCCAUGCCGCGUGAGUGAUGAAGGCCCUAGGGUUGUAAAGCUCUUUCAGUGGGGACGAUAAUGACGGUACCCACAGAAGAAGCCCCGGCUAACUUCGUG